RNAcentral lists this microRNA precursor (122 nucleotides) under Octodon degus (degu). RNAcentral's name for it is "miRNA (ENSODEG00000022712.1)". The stretch from base 32 to 112 matches the Rfam family "mir-1193 microRNA precursor family". Lineage: Eukaryota; Metazoa; Chordata; Mammalia; Rodentia; Octodontidae. The record is from RNAcentral.
CUGAAGGGACAGUAGUGCCGGCCAUGCUCCAGGGUUGCUGAGGGGAUGGUAGACCGGUGACGUGCACUUCAUUCACGAUGUAGGUCACCUGUUUCACAAUCCAUCGGCACCCGGUCCAUCUG